Molecule: ribosomal RNA, 254 nt
Filed under: uncultured bacterium
Lineage: Bacteria
Description: partial 16S ribosomal RNA
Rfam family: Bacterial small subunit ribosomal RNA
Source: RNAcentral
UACGAAGGGGGCUAGCGUUGCUCGGAAUUACUGGGCGUAAAGCGCACGUAGGCGGACUCUUAAGUCGGGGGUGAAAGCCCAGGGCUCAACCCUGGAACUGCCUUCGAUACUGGGAGUCUUGAGUGUGGAAGAGGUUGGUGGAACUGCGAGUGUAGAGGUGAAAUUCGUAGAUAUUCGCAAGAACACCAGUGGCGAAGGCGGCCAACUGGUCCAUUACUGACGCUGAGGCGGCGAAAGCGUGGGGAGCAAACAGG